CCUACGGGUGGCAGCAGUAGGGAAUUUUGCGCAAUGGGCGAAACCCUGACGCAGCAACGCCGCGUGAUCGAUGAAGCCCCUCGGGGUGUUAAGCUCUGUCAGUGGGGACGAAACCUGACGCUCCCCACAGAGGAAGCACCUGCCAACUCCGUGCGAGCAGCCUCGGUACUACGGGGGGUGCAAGCGUUUGCCGGAAUCAUUGGGCGUAAAGGGUUCGUAGGGGGGACGUUAAGUCUGGUGUUAAAGGCGGAGGCUCAACCUCCGUAGGGCGGUGGAAACUGGCGAGCUUGAGUGCGGGAGAGGUAAGGGGAAUUCCUGGUGUAGCGGUGAAAUGCGUAGAUAUCAGGAAGAACAUCGGUGGCGAAAGC
RNAcentral lists this ribosomal RNA (368 nucleotides) under uncultured bacterium. RNAcentral's name for it is "partial 16S ribosomal RNA". It matches the Rfam family "Bacterial small subunit ribosomal RNA", at positions 338 to 722 of the family's 1533-position model. The record is from RNAcentral.